AUAAGCGAUUCUAAAACCAAAAAAAAAUUCUCUCUCUCACCUUCGUUUUCUCCAUAGUUUCUAAAACCGAAAAAAAAUUCUUGCCAAGUGUGAGGGGUGAGAAGGUUUGCUCAGCCUGUUACUGACCAAGCCGUUGGGAAUGGAGUUAUUGGUGGAGUCAGACCUGAUCAGCAAUCGUUAUGGUUGAUACUUUUAUCGAUGAGGAUGAUGUUUCAAGGAGACAAGGACAUGCAGGAAGUGGAGAAGAAAACAUAGGGGAUGAAAACAUAGUGGUUUUGGAACUUAUUUAUUCUUUUAUGUGUUGUGUCAGUGUGUGAUAAUUAUCAAAGUAAUGGUUUUUUUGUAAUAACAUGGAUCCUAUAUUUGUUUCUAUUAUAAAAUUUGUGUUUAUCAGAUUUCAAAUUUUACAAAAUUAUGACUAUUAUAAAAUUUGUACCA
Long non-coding RNA from Camelina sativa (false flax), 438 nucleotides. RefSeq lists it as uncharacterized. Lineage: Eukaryota; Viridiplantae; Streptophyta; Magnoliopsida; Brassicales; Brassicaceae. The record is from RefSeq and is a predicted model, not a curated record.